RNAcentral lists this ribosomal RNA (541 nucleotides) under uncultured bacterium. Its description in RNAcentral is "bacterial SSU rRNA". It matches the Rfam family "Bacterial small subunit ribosomal RNA", at positions 963 to 1509 of the family's 1533-position model. The record is from RNAcentral.
GGAAAACCUUACCUACCCUUGACAUGUCUGGAAGGCCGAAGAGAUUUGGCUGUGCUCGCAAGAGAACCGGAACACAGGUGCUGCAUGGCUGUCGUCAGCUCGUGUCGUGAGAUGUUGGGUUAAGUCCCGCAACGAGCGCAACCCUUGUCAUUAGUUGCUACGAAAGGGCACUCUAAUGAGACUGCCGGUGACAAACCGGAGGAAGGUGGGGAUGACGUCAAGUCCUCAUGGCCCUUAUGGGUAGGGCUUCACACGUCAUACAAUGGUCGGGACAGAGGGUCGCCAACCCGCAGGGGGAGCCAAUCCCAGAAACCCGAUCGUAGUCCGGAUCGCAGUCUGCAACUCGACUGCGUGAAGUCGGAAUCGCUAGUAAUCGCGGAUCAGCAUGUCGCGGUGAAUACGUUCCCGGGUCUUGUACACACCGCCCGUCACACCAUGGGAGUGGGUUUUACCAGAAGUAGUUAGCCUAACCGCAAGGAGGGCGAUUACCACGGUAGGAUUCAUGACUGGGGUGAAGUCGUAACAAGGUAAGCGUAGUGCU